RNAcentral lists this ribosomal RNA (247 nucleotides) under uncultured bacterium. RNAcentral describes it as "partial 16S ribosomal RNA". It matches the Rfam family "Bacterial small subunit ribosomal RNA", at positions 523 to 769 of the family's 1533-position model. The record is from RNAcentral.
AUACGUAGGUGGCGAGCGUUGUCCGGAAUUACUGGGUGUAAAGGGCGUGUAGGCGGGAAUUCAAGUCAGAUGUGAAAUACCGAGGCUUAACUUCGGGGCUGCAUCUGAAACUGAGUUUCUUGAGUGUCGGAGAGGAAAGUGGAAUUCCCAGUGUAGCGGUGAAAUGCGUAGAUAUUGGGAGGAACACCAGUGGCGAAGGCGACUUUCUGGACGAUAACUGACGCUGAGGCGCGAAAGCGUGGGGAGC